CUCGGCCGAUCCUCCCACCCUUUGUGUACCUACCUCUGUUGCUUUGGCGGGCCGCGGUCCUCCGCGGCCGGCCCCCCUCCCCGGGGGGUGGCCAGCGCCCGCCAGAGGACCAUCAAACUCCAGUCAGUAAACGAUGCAGUCUGAAAAACAUUUAAAAACUAAAACUUUCAACAACGGAUCUCUUGGUUCUGGCAUCGAUGAAAAACGCAGCGAAAUGCGAUAAGUAAUGUGAAUUGCAGAAUUCAGUGAAUCAUCGAAUCUUUGAACGCACAUUGCGCCCUUUGGUAUUCCGAAGGGCAUGCCUGUUCGAGCGUCAUUACAACCCUCAAGCUCUGCUUGGUAUUGGGCACCGUCCUUUGCGGGCGCGCCUCAAAGACCUCGGCGGUGGCGUCUUGCCUCAAGCGUAGUAGAACAUACAUCUCGCUUCGGAGCGCAGGGCGUCGCCCGCCGGACGAACCUUCUGAACUUUUCUCAAGGUUGACCUCGGAUCAGGUAGGGAUACCCGCUGAACUUAAGCAUAUCAGUAAGACGAGAGGAA
Molecule: ribosomal RNA, 538 nt
Filed under: Botryosphaeria dothidea
Lineage: Eukaryota; Fungi; Ascomycota; Dothideomycetes; Botryosphaeriales; Botryosphaeriaceae
Description: eukaryotic LSU rRNA
Rfam family: 5.8S ribosomal RNA (bases 163-316)
Source: RNAcentral